UGCCAGCCGCCGCGGUAAUACGAAGGGUGCUAGCGUUGUUCGGAAUUACUGGGCGUAAAGAGCAUGUAGGCGGAUGAAUUAGUCAGAGGUGAAAGCCCCGGGCUCAACCUGGGAACUGCACCUGAUACUGCCAGUCUAGAAUACGGUAGAGGGUAGUGGAAUUUCCUGUGUAGCGGUGAAAUGCGUAGAUAUAGGAAGGAACACCAGUGGCGAAGGCGACUACCUGGACCGAUAUUGACGCUAAGGGACGAAAGCGUGGGGAGCGAACGGGAUUAGAUA
RNAcentral lists this ribosomal RNA (279 nucleotides) under uncultured bacterium. RNAcentral describes it as "partial 16S ribosomal RNA". It matches the Rfam family "Bacterial small subunit ribosomal RNA", at positions 506 to 784 of the family's 1533-position model. The record is from RNAcentral.